Molecule: long non-coding RNA, 373 nt
Filed under: Struthio camelus australis
Lineage: Eukaryota; Metazoa; Chordata; Aves; Struthioniformes; Struthionidae
Description: lncRNA (ENSSCUG00000016034.1)
Source: RNAcentral
GUUUUUCAAGCAGAUUUCCUACAAAGCACAGUUACUGUAAUGCUGAGCCCGUGAUGGCUACAGUCAAAGAAGUUGGCUUCCGGGAAGGCUUUGUAGCCUCUGUACCAUUGACCAGUUGGUAUACUUACCGCGCAAUCUAUCAGCAUCGUCCAUUUUACUGCUGCCUGGAGUGCUGUAUCUCUAUUUUCUCACUCUCAGCCUGAGUCUUACUUCCAUCAGUCAUUGGUGACUCUGCCUGAGAACAAUUUAUCAAGACUUAUGAUUCAAGAGUUGAAGUGUGGAGUCAGAUGUAUCCCACAGAAACUCCUAUAGCCUGCAGGAACGCUGGGAGCCUCCACCAUCCCUCCUGUGGUGGGGACUGUCUAUGGAGCAG